GCGGGAAUAGCUCAGUUGGUAGAGCGCCACCUUGCCGAGGUGGAGGUCGCGGGUUCGAAUCCCGUUUCCCGCU
This 73-nucleotide transfer RNA is filed under the name Pseudomonadota bacterium. RNAcentral describes it as "tRNA-Gly". It matches the Rfam family "tRNA". From Rfam's summary of the family: Transfer RNA (tRNA) molecules are approximately 80 nucleotides in length. Their secondary structure includes four short double-helical elements and three loops (D, anti-codon, and T loops). The record is from RNAcentral. RNAcentral also lists the same sequence under 2 other names. Lineage: Bacteria; Pseudomonadati; Pseudomonadota.